This is a non-coding RNA of Danio rerio (zebrafish), 286 nucleotides long. NCBI's taxonomy places the organism in Eukaryota, Metazoa, Chordata, Actinopteri, Cypriniformes, Danionidae. The record is from Ensembl.
UUUCAGAAGAUGAAGUGGACGAGGAAGCAGUAGAGUGUAAUAACAUGAUUGCUGCAAUUGGUGAGGAUGCAUCAUCUUUUGAGAGUAAUGUGAAUGUCCUGCGUAUCCAGUGAAAUAAGUCAUGGUGAACCUGACUGAAUGCAUUCAUCAACCAUCUCCAACCAAGUCAGAGCUUCAAGGACAGCUUGUGCUAAAGGUGCCUGAGCUUGAUUAAGAAAAAAAGCAUCUCUACUGGCCAAAGUCUACAAAAAAGCAAGAGAAUAGAAGCUUGCAGAUGAUCUAACAG